GAUGAACGCUGGCGGCGUGCCUAAUACAUGCAAGUCGAGCGAAUGGAUUAAGAGCUUGCUCUUAUGAAGUUAGCGGCGGACGGGUGAGUAACACGUGGGUGACCUGCCCAUAAGACUAGGAUAACUCCGGGAAACCGGGGCUAAUACCGGAUAACAUUUUGAACCGCAUGGUUCGAAAUUGAAAGGCGGCUUCGGCUGUCACUUAUGGAUGGACCCGCGUCGCAUUAGCUAGUUGGUGAGGUAACGGCUCACCAAGGCAACGAUGCGUAGCCGACCUGAGAGGGUGAUCGGCCACACUGGGACUGAGACACGGCCCAGACUCCUACGGGAGGCAGCAGUAGGGAAUCUUCCGCAAUGGACGAAAGUUUGACGGAGCAACGCCGCGUGAGUGAUGAAGGCUUUCGGGUCGUAAAACUCUGUUGUUAGGGAAGAACAAGUGCUAGUUGAAUAAGCUGACACCUUGACGGUACCUAACCAGAAAGCCACGGCUAACUACGUGCCAGCCGCCGCUGUAA
RNAcentral lists this ribosomal RNA (515 nucleotides) under uncultured bacterium. RNAcentral describes it as "partial 16S ribosomal RNA". It matches the Rfam family "Bacterial small subunit ribosomal RNA", at positions 28 to 523 of the family's 1533-position model. The record is from RNAcentral.